This 630-nucleotide ribosomal RNA is filed under the name uncultured Actinomycetes bacterium. RNAcentral describes it as "bacterial SSU rRNA". It matches the Rfam family "Bacterial small subunit ribosomal RNA", at positions 56 to 674 of the family's 1533-position model. The record is from RNAcentral. Lineage: Bacteria; Bacillati; Actinomycetota; Actinomycetes.
UGCAGUCGAGCGAGAACCAGUCCUUCGGGACUGGGGACAGCGGCGAACGGGUGAGUAACACGUGGGUAAUCCACCCUUGGUACCGGGAUAGCCCGGGGAAACUCGGAUUAAUACCGGAUGGCCCAACAGCUCUUCGGGGCGGUUGGAAAAGGUAGCUUCGGCCUCCGACCAAGGACGAGCCCGCGGCGGAUUAGCUUGUUGGCGGGGUAACGGCCCACCAAGGCGACGAUCCGUAGCUGGUCUGAGAGGACGAUCAGCCACACUGGGACUGAGACACGGCCCAGACUCCUACGGGAGGCAGCAGUGGGGAAUCUUGCGCAAUGGGCGAAAGCCUGACGCAGCGACGCCGCGUGAGGGAAGAAGGCUUUCGGGUUGUAAACCUCUUUCAGGAGGGACGAAGCUACUCGGGUUAAUAGCCCAGAGGGUGACGGUACCUCCAGAAGAAGCCCCGGCUAACUACGUGCCAGCAGCCGCGGUAAUACGUAGGGGGCAAGCGUUGUCCGGACUUAUUGGGCGUAAAGAGCGUGUAGGCGGCCAAACAGGUCUGUUGUGAAAACUCGAGGCUCAACCUCGAGACGCCGAUGGAAACCGUUUGGCUAGAGUCCGGAAGAGGAGAGUGGAAUUCCUGGU